UGAUUUAGUUGUCUGUGGUGGGUGGGGAUAAUUUUUGUGCAGUCUUUUUUAGUGACCAAACUUUAAUUUUGAAGAAGAAUAUAUUGACUUACUAAGGGGAAGUAUUCUCAUUUUGAGUGACAUUCAGAGGUUCACGUUUGCUUCUCUGCCGAGCAAAGGGAACGUCCUCAGAUUUCCGUCCAUUUCAUUUCUUCAUUAGAGUAAACAGUGGGACUUGGGAGGAUUAGUCUGGUGUCUAUUCUGGGCUAGAGAGAUCAUUUGACGAAAAAAAACUUACACUAUUUGAUGUACAGAAUAGAAAACAUUUAAAUAUUGAAUUAGGCACUCAAAACCAACAAAGAGAAUGAGCAAUCAUCUUAAAGAUGGAACCUCUUAAAGGACAACUUUGAUUUCCUUCUUCGUGUGAAGAUGCUGGAUAGUACCCAAAUCACUUAAAACCUGUUUCCAUUCGCUUUUUACUUAAAAAUAAACAUUUGCGAGAAGUUACCAAGGCAGCUCUUGUCCUCAGAAGGAACCUGCUCCUCUUGAGUGGCACCUGGGAUUUUCUCCUCCCAGUAAAUCUCAGUGAUGAUGUCAUGGUGAUUGAGUAGGAUGAGGCCUGUAUUACCGAAGUCUGGGAGCAUAAUUGAACUUGGUCUUCUGUGUUCUAGAGAACAGCACUGCUCUGACAAGUGAAUUCUUGAUAAAUGGCUAAUGCUUUUCUCUCACACUGCUAAUCUUUGGAUGGAAACCAUUCUUUAUAUUGAUGGACAGUUUUCAGAAAACUAUCAACAGGUGUACAAGAGUCAUGUUCAUUUAGAAUAGAGCAGUGUAAAUGCUAGGCCUCAGAAAUCUGAAAAAAGAUAGCAAAGAAAGUGGGUUUGGAACGUAUGGUUUGGAAUUGCUUGUCAGACUCUGAAGAAGAUGUGUUUCAGCUUGGGAUUACAAACCCCAUUUAUAAUUUUUAAAUAUACUUGAAAUAAAAUGAUUAAAAUGAAUUUUGGUCCAGUCACAUUACUUUGCACUUCUUCUUCUUUUUUUUCUUUUUGUACAAAAUUUUAAAGACUUAAUUUAUUGCCAAAAUUCUGUGUAAAGUGACAGUGUAUCUAACAGUUGUUAGAGAACUCCCCAUUUCUGUUCCCCUGUGCUGUGUAUGGUCUGUGUUCCUCUGGUUUGAUUCCCUCUGGCGGUGGGGGAGGGGCGGAGUUGUGUGUAAUUUAAGACAAUUUAAGGUCUUUUCUAAACACGAUAGUUAUAAAUGUCCUUUUUAGAUCUUCUGGGGUAUGCACAGCUUUAAUGAAUUAAAUUUACUGGAAUCAAUUGAAAUAAGAGGACUCAAGGUUUGUUCUAAUGAAGUUUGUCAAAUUACUCUUUGGAAUUGAGCCAAAAUCCUAGAGUUGAGUUUUUAUUCUUCCUUCCUUCCAUACAACAAAACAAGUCCAUAGCCUAUGACCCAAGACUGUUUGUGGCCUUAGGAACAAUUGCUUAAGCAGGUCAAGCAUUUUGAAUUUCAAUGUAGGCCUUCAGGAUCUUCUCACAUGAGGUCAACUGCUAAUGCAAUCUCUACACUUCAAAAAGCACUGAUCGUUCUCCAGUUCUUGCCAAGAUCAUCCCAAGUUGGAUAUCAUCAAAACUAUCUUUGUGCUCCCAAAACUUGGUGUUCAUGUGUAUCCCUUUAAGUUGUUUCUCCUUGACACGCUCCACAAUGGCAAAGAUACCAAGUCAUACCUACUCAACAGAUGGCAUGGGACAUAUGAAGAAAUGGAGACAUUAACUUCGUUCUAAAGCCUGAUUGUAGAUUGCUCCUUAAAACUGAACAGUUAGUGUUUGAAGUUGAAAUGCUGAAUAUAAUGUGAAUAGCAAAAUCUGGUAUGUUGUGACUAAGGCUUAAGAGUGCCUGUUUCUGACAAUAAAAUGUUCCAAUAUUAAUGAACAGUGCCAAAUACACUGUGCAUAUCUAUAAUUUUCCAUUUGAAUGUAUGUUAAUUACUCCCUUCUAUGUGAUGGUCCCAUGCUUAGAGUCAGUGAAGUUCUUGUGAUGUUUGUUAUGCUUGUAGAUUUUGGCAACUUGUAAAUAAUGUGUAUACCAAGUUUUUAUGAUUAAGGAAUCAAAUUUAUUGAAUUUUAUUAUUGAAAGUUGAAAUAAGAUGUAUGAACAAAAAAAAAUCAAUAAAAGAAUAUACUCUUUUCAUGGACUGUAGUAGUAUGUGAAUGUUACAUUUAGUUUGAACAGUUCUGAAGUAUAAGGAGAAAUGUAUGACCAGAUAGCAAUCCUGCUUUUAGAUAGUAUGCUCUUGAUUGGAACAAAUUUUCAUUUUUUUAAAAAUCUGCUAAACAUUUGCAAUCUUACAUUUGUAUUUUAAUACCAGAGUGAGGUUUAGCUUUGUCUUUCUGGGAUUCUCAGGUUCCACAGUAAUUACAAGCUGACUUUUUACUGAACAUAGGAAUGUUAAAAACAAAUGUGUAGGUGGCUGGAGAAAUGGCUUAGUGGUUAAGAGCUCGGUCCUGAGUUCAAUUCCCAGCAACCACAUGGUGGCUCAUAGCCAUCUGUAAUGGGAUUUGGUGCCCUCUUCUGGUGUGUCUGAAAACAGCUACAGCAUACCCAUAUAAAUAAAAUAAAUAUAUCUUUACAAAAAAACCCACCAUUC
RNAcentral lists this long non-coding RNA (2627 nucleotides) under Mus musculus (house mouse). RNAcentral describes it as "long non-coding RNA chr10:52437032-52439659". Lineage: Eukaryota; Metazoa; Chordata; Mammalia; Rodentia; Muridae. The record is from RNAcentral.